This 490-nucleotide ribosomal RNA is filed under the name uncultured bacterium. RNAcentral's name for it is "partial 16S ribosomal RNA". It matches the Rfam family "Bacterial small subunit ribosomal RNA", at positions 29 to 507 of the family's 1533-position model. The record is from RNAcentral.
AGUGAACGCUGGCGGUAGGCCUAACACAUGCAAGUCGAACGGCAGCACAGGAGAGCUUGCUCUCUAGGUGGCGAGUGGCGGACGGGUGAGGAAUACAUCGGAAUCUGCCCAGUCGUGGGGGAUAACGUAGGGAAACUUACGCUAAUACCGCAUACGACCUUCGGGUGAAAGAGGGGGAUCGCAAGACCUCUCGCGAUUGGAUGAGCCGAUGUCGGAUUAGCUAGUUAGCGGGGUACUGGCCCACCAAGGCGACGAUCCGUAGCUGGUCUGAGAGGCUGAUCAGCCACACUGGAACUGAGACACGGUCCAGACUCCUACGGGAGGCAGCAGUGGGGAAUAUUGGACAAUGGGCGCAAGCCUGAUCCAGCCAUACCGCGUGGGUGAAGAAGGCCUUCGGGUUGUAAAGCCCUUUUGUUGGGAAAGAAAUCUUUCAGGCUAAUACCCUGGGAGGAUGACGGUACCCAAAGAAUAAGCACCGGCUAACUUCGUG